CUUCAGUGAUGAUACGAUGACGAGUCGGAAUGGGACAGUCUGUCUCUGGGUACACUGGAUUGGUGUCACGUUCUGUGUCUCUGGUUUCAGUUCCUCUGAGGCAGGUCUCUUCAGUUGAAGACAUCGAGGCAUUUGUCUGAGAAGG
This is a small nucleolar RNA of Oncorhynchus kisutch (coho salmon), 145 nucleotides long. NCBI's taxonomy places the organism in Eukaryota, Metazoa, Chordata, Actinopteri, Salmoniformes, Salmonidae. The record is from Ensembl.